UACGGAGGGGGCUAGCGUUGUUCGGAAUUACUGGGCGUAAAGCGCACGUAGGCGGCUUUGUAAGUUAGAGGUGAAAGCCUGGAGCUCAACUCCAGAAUUGCCUUUAAGACUGCAUCGCUUGAAUCCAGGAGAGGUGAGUGGAAUUCCGAGUGUAGAGGUGAAAUUCGUAGAUAUUCGGAAGAACACCAGUGGCGAAGGCGGCUCACUGGACUGGUAUUGACACUGAGGGAUGAAAGUUUGGGGAGCAAAACGG
RNAcentral lists this ribosomal RNA (253 nucleotides) under uncultured bacterium. RNAcentral's name for it is "partial 16S ribosomal RNA". It matches the Rfam family "Bacterial small subunit ribosomal RNA", at positions 524 to 776 of the family's 1533-position model. The record is from RNAcentral.